CUUUGACUGGAGUAGAGUAAUCUUUUCGGAUGAAAAAAUAUUUUCUUCCUGUAGCGACGCCCCUGUUCAGGUAUACCGCCCACGAGGACAACGCUUCCAGCCAAUGCACCUUAACGAAAGUGAAAGAAGUGGACGGUUCUCUGUAGCUGUAUGGAGCUAUAUUUCCGCUCAUGGGGCAGGUCCUCUCUGGAGAAUAGAGGGGAUUCUCAACGAAGAGGCCUACAUUAACAUACUGAAUUCCAUUAUGAAGCCGAGUGCUGAAAUGCUGUACCCAGACGGUGAAAUAUAUCUUCUGCAGGACCAUAGCCAGAUUCAUAAUAGCAGAGCUGUCCAGAACUGGUUCCAAGGUCAGCAGAGAAUAAAACUUCUUCCUUUCGUACCAAAAUCACCAGACCUCAACCCCAUUGAAAAUAUGUGGGCGGAGGUUACAAGGUUGUUACCACCUGGGUCAAGGAAUUCAGAAACUCUGUGGGAAAAUAUGGAGAAUACAUGGUGGGAGAUAAACGAUCACCACAAUCUCUCGAGGAAUUUAGCCUUAUCACUUCCCAGACGCCUUCGAGCAAUUAUAGAAAACGAGGGAGGAUGGGUACAGUAUUGAAAGAAAAAUAAAGGUCAAACCAGUUGCGAGGUCCUAAAGUGUUCCAGAAACCUACCAAAGCUAAAUGGUCCUUGUGUAUUCUCAUUAAAUGUGUCACUGCAUGAUUCUUACACAUAGGAACUACUAAUUAAAUUCUUUAUUCAAAGAAAUAAA
Long non-coding RNA from Schistocerca gregaria, 751 nucleotides. RefSeq lists it as uncharacterized. The transcript has 3 exons. NCBI's taxonomy places the organism in Eukaryota, Metazoa, Arthropoda, Insecta, Orthoptera, Acrididae. The record is from RefSeq and is a predicted model, not a curated record.